Molecule: ribosomal RNA, 274 nt
Filed under: uncultured bacterium
Lineage: Bacteria
Description: partial 16S ribosomal RNA
Rfam family: Bacterial small subunit ribosomal RNA
Source: RNAcentral
AUACGGAGGGUGCAAGCGUUGUUCGGAAUCACUGGGCGUAAAGCGCGUGCAGGCGGCCCAUUAAGUCAGAUGUGAAAGCCCUCGGCUCAACCAAGGAACUGCAUCUGAAACUACUGGGCUUGAGUACGGGAGAGGAGAGUGGAAUUCCCGGUGUAGAGGUGAAAUUCGUAGAUAUCGGGAAGAACACCGGUGGCGAAGGCGGCUCUCUGGACCGAUACUGACGCUGAGACGCGAAAGCGUGGGGAGCAAACAGGAUUAGAUACACGAGUAGUCC